UAAUACGUAGGGGGCAAGCGUUGUCCGGAUUUAUUGGGCGUAAAGAGCGUGUAGGCGGCUAGGUAGGUCCGUUGUGAAAACUCGAGGCUUAACCUCGAGACGUCGAUGGAAACCAUCUAGCUAGAGUCCGGAAGAGGAGAGUGGAAUUCCUGGUGUAGCGGUGAAAUGCGCAGAUAUCAGGAAGAACACCCGUGGCGAAGGCGGCUCUCUGGGACGUGACUGACGCUGAGACGCGAAAGCGUGGGGAGCGAACAGGAUUAGAUACCCUGGUAGUCCACGCCGUAAACGAUGGGUGCUAGGUGUGGGGGGUGUCGACUCCCUCCGUGCCGAAGCUAACGCAUUAAGCACCCCGCCUGGGGAGUACGGCCGCAAGGCUAAAACUCAAAGGAAUUGACGG
This 397-nucleotide ribosomal RNA is filed under the name uncultured bacterium. RNAcentral's name for it is "bacterial SSU rRNA". It matches the Rfam family "Bacterial small subunit ribosomal RNA", at positions 521 to 916 of the family's 1533-position model. The record is from RNAcentral.